Cyprinodon tularosa is the source of this 1542-nucleotide long non-coding RNA. RefSeq lists it as uncharacterized. The transcript is spliced from 3 exons. Lineage: Eukaryota; Metazoa; Chordata; Actinopteri; Cyprinodontiformes; Cyprinodontidae. The record is from RefSeq and is a predicted model, not a curated record.
AAAAGAGCCAGUCCACUUCCAGUCUACACCGUGAAGCCAGAAAACAAGGACCGUCCUGUACGUACACUCCAUCGAGACCUGCUAUUACCCUGUGGUUUCCUCUCAGCCCCUGCCAAACAAAUCAAACAGAAAGUGACACAUUCCCUACCGUCAGAAAGCACACCUCUCAAUCCUCCUGAUGAUGGUGGUGAAGAUAUCCUGUCGGAAGAAGAACUGAUUCCUGUUAAACCUCUCUCCAUCUCAGAACCAGUCAGAUUCACAUCCAUAAUCGAAUUGCCCACUUCUGCUCAUCCGGCUGAGUCAGCUGUGGUCCCGCCUGGCCAGCAACCACAGUCUGCCCGGACUGAAGAACCUCUGAUGGAAGUGGGGCCUCGUGUGAUUGAGAGUGAACCGGAAUCUGAAUCGUCACAAGAAACCAUUGACCACUUAGCUGAAGCUGUAAAUACUCACUUAGACUUAAGACCUGCUGCUAACCUGGAGCCUGAAGAAAGCGCUUCCUCUGAUCCGGAAACUCCAGACCCCGUCAGCAUUGUCUCUGAAUCUGACUCACCCUCUGAGCUUGAAUUGUCCAGUCCCGGGUCCGAACCACCAGGCCAUCGACCUAUCCGAACACGUCGUCCUCCUGAGCGGUUCCAAUACUCCAGGCUGGGCCAUCCACUGCUCCAAAGUAUCCAAUCUUUGUUCCAUGGACUAAGCACCGCCUUUAAUUAUGUUGUUGAAAUUGAUGAGGUCCAACCUUCCCUUACCAGUAAACAAGCCGUCUGCCGUCAGCCCGCUGCAUGUACAGGGCCGUACAUGAGUUCAGGGGGGGAACGUGUAGCCCUCAGCUCCUAAGUCCUUUUAAUUUGACGGGCCACGCCCUGUGCGACAUCACCCCAACUCUAUUUACCUGCGGAGUCAGAGUGCCACUCCCUCCUCCAUUCCCCACCUGUGGCUGUUGCAUGCUCUGUUGGCGUCUCGUUUAAAAAAAAAGCUACUGGAUCUUCCUAAAGAUCUAAUAUUAUAAGCUGUCUUUUGGACUCGCUUCUCUCUCACAACUUGGGCCAAACCGCUCAUGUUGUCUUUCAUUAAUACCACUACACAGACGGAGAUCAACUUGUCAUCCCUUCAACGGUCAGGUUUUUUUUUUAUGCCAGAAAAAGGACAUCACCCUCACUACAAUCUGGUUCACAACAACUUUUUUUUCUUCUAAUUCAACUGAAGAUGGCGAGCUAAGACCUCUACCUGUGCGGUAGGAUACAGACUCUUCUUUCCUAUAAGGAUAAAAACUAUUCUCUUCCCAACCCUGGAUUACCAUAGCGUAUGGACUAACAAUCUAACCUAACUGAACCUUGGGGACAAUUAAUCAAAAACUGUUUUGUUAUUAAUGUUUGUGUGUUUGUUGUUUUUUUUUUUGUGUGUGUCUUGGCCACUUUAAUACAAAACUAGUUAAACCUUAUUUUUGUCUCUGUGAUUAUUCACACCUCGGGCUCCUCAACGAACCCUCUUCUGGUAACAUCUUUCUACAUCUAUAUAGUCAGUUCCUUGUCAUUAGCCUUUAAC